GACGAACCGUCCAAACGUUAUUCGGAAUCACUGGGCUUACAGAGUUCGUAGGCGGUCUGGAAAGUUGGGUGUGAAAUCCCUCGGCUCAACCGAGGAACUGCGCUUGAAACUACCAGACUCGAGGGAGAUAGAGGAAAGCGGAACUGAUGGUGGAGCGGUGAAAUGCGUUGAUAUCAUCAGGAACACCGGUGGCGAAGGCGGCUUCUGGGUCUUACCUGACGCUGAGGAACGAAAGCCAGGGGAGCGAACGGG
This 252-nucleotide ribosomal RNA is filed under the name uncultured bacterium. RNAcentral's name for it is "partial 16S ribosomal RNA". It matches the Rfam family "Bacterial small subunit ribosomal RNA", at positions 524 to 776 of the family's 1533-position model. The record is from RNAcentral.